RNAcentral lists this ribosomal RNA (743 nucleotides) under uncultured bacterium. RNAcentral's name for it is "bacterial SSU rRNA". It matches the Rfam family "Bacterial small subunit ribosomal RNA", at positions 94 to 823 of the family's 1533-position model. The record is from RNAcentral.
AGCGGCGGAUGGGUGAGUAACACGUGGGGAACCUGCCCCUAAGUCUGGGAUACCAUUUGGAAACAGGUGCUAAUACCGGAUAAUAAAGCAGAUCGCAUGAUCAGCCUUUGAAAGGCGGCGUAAGCUGUCGCUAAGGGAUGGCCCCGCGGUGCAUUAGCUAGUUGGUAAGGUAACGGCUUACCAAGGCGACGAUGCAUAGCCGAGUUGAGAGACUGAUCGGCCACAUUGGGACUGAGACACGGCCCAAACUCCUACGGGAGGCAGCAGUAGGGAAUCUUCCACAAUGGACGCAAGUCUGAUGGAGCAACGCCGCGUGAGUGAAGAAGGUUUUCGGAUCGUAAAACUCUGUUGUUGGUGAAGAAGGAUAGAGGUAGUAACUGGCCUUUAUUUGACGGUAAUCAACCAGAAAGUCACGGCUAACUACGUGCCAGCAGCCGCGGUAAUACGUAGGUGGCAAGCGUUGUCCGGAUUUAUUGGGCGUAAAGCGAGCGCAGGCGGAAAAAUAAGUCUAAUGUGAAAGCCCUCGGCUUAACCGAGGAACUGCAUCGGAAACUGUUUUUCUUGAGUGCAGAAGAGGAGAGUGGAACUCCAUGUGUAGCGGUGGAAUGCGUAGAUAUAUGGAAGAACACCAGUGGCGAAGGCGGCUCUCUGGUCUGCAACUGACGCUGAGGCUCGAAAGCAUGGGUAGCGAACAGGAUUAGAUACCCUGGUAGUCCAUGCCGUAAACGAUGAGUGCUAAGUGU